GUUGUCCUACGGGACGCAGCAGUGGGGAAUCUUCCGCAAUGGGCGCAAGCCUGACGGAGCAAUGCCGCGGGAACGAAGAAGGUCUUCGGAUUGUAAAGUUCUGUCCUUAUCGAAGAGAGGGUAUAGAGUGAAAAAUGAUAUACUAGGACGGUAGAUGAGGAGGAAGCCCCGGCUAACUACGUGCCAGCAGCCGCGGUAAUACGUAGGGGGCGAGCGUUGUCCGGAAUCACUGGGCGCAAAGAGCGCGUAGGCGGGAUAGCAAGUCAGAUGUGAAAUCCUAUGGCUUAACCAUAGAACUGCAUUUG
Molecule: ribosomal RNA, 305 nt
Filed under: uncultured bacterium
Lineage: Bacteria
Description: bacterial SSU rRNA
Rfam family: Bacterial small subunit ribosomal RNA
Source: RNAcentral